Molecule: ribosomal RNA, 505 nt
Filed under: uncultured bacterium
Lineage: Bacteria
Description: partial 16S ribosomal RNA
Rfam family: Bacterial small subunit ribosomal RNA
Source: RNAcentral
GACGAACGCUGGCGGCGUGCCUAAUACAUGCAAGUAGAACGCACAGUUUAUACCGUAGCUUGCUACACCAUAAACUGUGAGUUGCGAACGGGUGAGUAACGCGUAGGUAACCUGCCUGGUAGCGGGGGAUAACUAUUGGAAACGAUAGCUAAUACCGCAUAAUAUUGAUUAUUGCAUGAUAAUUGAUUGAAAGAUGCUAUUGCAUCACUACCAGAUGGACCUGCGUUGUAUUAGCUAGUAGGUGAGGUAACGGCUCACCUAGGCGACGAUACAUAGCCGACCUGAGAGGGCGAUCGGCCACACUGGGACUGAGACACGGCCCAGACUCCUACGGGAGGCAGCAGUAGGGAAUCUUCGGCAAUGGACGAAAGUCUGACCGAGCAACGCCGCGUGAGUGAAGAAGGUUUUCGGAUCGUAAAGCUCUGUUGUAAGAGAAGAACGGGUGUGAGAGUGGAAAGUUCACACUGUGACGGUAUCUUACCAGAAAGGGACGGCUAACUACGUG